This 398-nucleotide ribosomal RNA is filed under the name Bacillus cereus. RNAcentral's name for it is "bacterial SSU rRNA". It matches the Rfam family "Bacterial small subunit ribosomal RNA", at positions 828 to 1225 of the family's 1533-position model. Lineage: Bacteria; Bacillati; Bacillota; Bacilli; Caryophanales; Bacillaceae. The record is from RNAcentral.
GGGUUUUCCCCCUUUAGUGCUGAAGUUAACGCAUUAAGCACUUCCCCUGGGGAGUACGGCCGCAAGGCUGAAACUCAAAGGAAUUUGACGGGGGCCCGCACAAGCGGUGGAGCAUGUGGUUUAAUUCGAAGCAACGCGAAGAACCUUACCAGGUCUUGACAUCCUCUGAAAACCCUAGAGAUAGGGCUUCUCCUUCGGGAACAGAGUGACAGGUGGUGCAUGGUUGUCGUCAGCUCGUGUCGUGAGAUGUUGGGUUAAGUCCCGCAACGAGCGCAACCCUUGAUCUUAGUUGCCAUCAUUAAGUUGGGCACUCUAAGGUGACUGCCGGUGACAAACCGGAGGAAGGUUGGGAUGACGUCAAAUCAUCAUGCCCCUUAUGACCUGGGCUACACACGUGC